UAACCAUCAAGAGAGGUGGAGGGACUGGCCCUGUGAAACCCGGCAACAACUGAUUUAAUCAGAAAUGUGCCAAUUCCAGCAGAAAAACUCUGAGAGAUGGUAG
RNAcentral lists this non-coding RNA (103 nucleotides) under Desulfonispora thiosulfatigenes. RNAcentral's name for it is "SAM-I sequence". It matches the Rfam family "SAM riboswitch aptamer (S box leader)". Rfam says of the family: The SAM riboswitch is found upstream of a number of genes which code for proteins involved in methionine or cysteine biosynthesis in Gram-positive bacteria. RNAcentral also lists the same sequence under 1 other name. The record is from RNAcentral. Lineage: Bacteria; Bacillati; Bacillota; Clostridia; Eubacteriales; Peptococcaceae.